CCUACGGGGCGCAGCAGUGAGGAAUAUUGGUCAAUGGCCGGAAGGCUGAACCAGCCAAGCCGCAUGAAGGACGAAGGUGCCAAGCAUUGUAAACUUCUUUUGUCAAGGGACAAAAUCAGGCUCGAGAGCCUGACCGCGGGUACUUGAAGAAAAAGCAUAGGCUAACUCCGUGCCAGCAGCCGCGGUAAUACGGAGGAUGCGAGGGGUUUCCGGUUUUAUUGGGUUUAAAGGGUGCGUAGGCGGGCUGUUAAGUCAGCGGGAAAAGCCCCGGGCCAAACCCGGGCGAGCCGUUGAAACUGGCUGACUUGAGAGCACGAGAGGUAAGGGGAAUGCGCAGUGUAGCGGUGAAAUGCUUAGAUAUAGGGCGGAACUCCGAUUGCGAAGGCAACAUUCCGGC
RNAcentral lists this ribosomal RNA (397 nucleotides) under uncultured bacterium. Its description in RNAcentral is "partial 16S ribosomal RNA". It matches the Rfam family "Bacterial small subunit ribosomal RNA", at positions 338 to 733 of the family's 1533-position model. The record is from RNAcentral.